Long non-coding RNA from Lutra lutra (Eurasian river otter), 7742 nucleotides. RefSeq lists it as uncharacterized. The transcript has 3 exons. Lineage: Eukaryota; Metazoa; Chordata; Mammalia; Carnivora; Mustelidae. The record is from RefSeq and is a predicted model, not a curated record.
CAGCCCCCGCUCUGGCCACCACCACGGGGCCCAUUCCUCACUGCCUCCUCCUGGACUGCUGCAACUGCCUCCCACCUGUCUCCUAGCCCCUCUCCUACCCCCUUCUCACUCCCAGGGUAUGUCACUCACCCCUGCUUAAGGCCGGUGUGGGGUUUGUUGCCUCCAGGGCAAGGACCAGGCCAGGGCGGGUCUCUGCAGCCGCAGCACACCGCAAACCGUCCACCUCUGCUUCCUUAUCUCCACUCGGGUGUCGGACCCCCGCGUCCCUCUGGCAGCGGGCCCCGCCCCACCCGACCCAGCCCCCUGCCCCUCCUUCCCUGCGGCCGAUUCAGGGAGGGAGCCCUCCGCGCCGGCCCCUCUCCCUGAAUCCUCGCUCCUGGGGAGGCCCGGGUCGGUCGCUCGGGGCUGGCAGGAGAGGAACCGGGGGGCUGUCUGCGGGCGCCCCCGGGCUCCCACACGGGUUCCCUGAGUUGAAAGAAGGUAUCAGUGAGGGCGAGGAGAUGGCGAGGCAAGAAAAGGCCCAGUUUCCAUAGCAACCGAAAGGCUGCGGCGCCAGGAACAGAGAGGACGAGGGGGCUGUCCUGGGAGCAGAUUCGGUCCUGGGAUUUGAGGACAGAAAGGACUUUCAGUUCCCGCUACUUCAGAAGUUCUCAACAGGAGCUCUUUUCAGGCUUCACUUACAUGCCUCCAGUGACGGAGGGCUCACUACCUAUGGGAUCAGGCCGUACAAGUUGAGGAGCUGGGGCACUGGUGCCAGAGCUGCCGGGACCCCCCAGGGGAAGACGUUGCAUGUGUGUCUCCAUAGCAGAAAGGCAGCACCCGGCUUGCACUGAAGCUUCAAGAGGAACGAGCCCGGGCAAAAACUAAGACACCAGCUUCUGUCCUCAGAUUCUCCAAGGAAGAGGGGACCAGGGGUCUAGGGGGUAACUCAGGGGGUCCUGCUGGCUCCUGGCCCAAGAUCUCUCAGCUUGUGACUGCAGGGUGGGUGUGGGGAUAGGCAAGAAGGGGGCAAGAGAUCUGCAUUUCCAGAAGUAAAGCGUCUACAGUACUGACAUCUUGUUUGUGAUACGCGUGGCAAAGUACUUAGGGGGAAAGGUACACACACAGAAAUAUGUCCAAAAAUAAGAGGAUGGCUGGGGAGGUGGGGUUAGAUGGACCCGUGCUGGAAUUCACAAGCUUGAGUCAUGGGUCCCUGCCGACCCUGGUUCUGUCUUCUGUAAAGGGGAUGAUCACGGUACCUGCCUGGAAGGUUGGAGUGAGGACGGCAUUUCUGAGAUAUCUGCACUGACUCUGGCUGAUAUGCCCGUCUGAAGUCUCCAUGGGCAGCAAAGUUGCCUCUUGGCUAAUCCUGCUGAGGCUGGGGUCUGGGGCAAAGGUGUAAUUCCUUCUUCCCAUCUAAGUUUACAGACCCAUGAACCCCAUAGGAAUCCCUGCCCCAGUGAGAAUCAACCCUCGCUGCUGGGCUGGCAGACCCUUUAGCCUGUCCUUGUCCUUCCCGAGCAAUGGGAACUUUUAAACCUUGCCAGCCCAAGUGGCAGCGGGAAUGUCCGGGCUGUUGGAGGUGAUGGCCUCGGCUCCUCAUCCCAUCCCACCUCGAGUCCCAGCCUGGAAACUCUGGGGGUCACAGACUGAGGAUUUGCUUUCUGUUCUGUCCAGGAAGGAAACAGGGCCAGUCCUGAGCAGAGAACAGGGCAGUCGGGCACUCAGACCUCGUGCCAGCAGCUGGGCGGUCUUUUAGCAGCUGGGGAGAAGCAAGGCUAUUUCUGUGCCUACCAUGUCCCCAGGGCCCAGCCAGCCAGGAAGGCCACUCAGGGCCAGGCCUGUCCAGUCAUCAGCCAUGACACUGGUUUUCCAGAAAGUGUAGGCAGGAUGGGAAAACGCUGUCUGUCUGGGAAGCAGAGGUGCUGCCCAGUGGUGAGUGAGUGGCCACGGUGCCCGGGGAAGCUGGGUGUGAGCAAUAUGGCCCCCAGCUGGUUGGCAAGUCCAAGUGUAUGGGAAGGGAUGUUGCCCACAGAGCAGCCCAGCCCUUCCUCCCCUCAGACAGAGCAGAAAAGUGAGGGUGUUUCAGGCAAGAGAAUGGCCUGGACACAGGUGGGGAGUUCAGCAGCAAGGACAGAACCGUGGGCCAGGGCGGUCAGGCCCUUCCUGGAGGCAGCUGUCGGGGCCGAGCAUGCAGCCUCUGAGUCUGGCUCUGGGCUUCAAAGCCUGCUCUGGCUGUGCGGUCUCGGGCGAGUUGCGUAACUGCUCUGUUUCAGUAAGAUGGGGAUUACCAGAGCAUCCAGUCUAAGGGCUCUGGCAGGGAGCCCAUGUGACAACAGUAAGGGCACAGUGAGUGAGAAAGGAGGGUUAGCGCCUCUCGGCCUCAGUUUCCCCAUGUGGGAACUGGGAGAGCAGACUCUGUCCCAUCUUCCAGGGCCGUCUAGAUCUGAUGUGACCCCUUCCUCUUGUCUGGGGACGGCGUCCAGCUCCCUUCCUCUCGGCCCUCUCUGAAAAGCCAUUUGAUUCAUUUUUGUGGGGGAAUCUUCCAUCAAAGAUGAGGGCAGAGAAAGAGGGCAGAAGCAGCCCAUCAGGGGGCCGCCCCUCAUCUCCCACCCAGGCAGGGUCCCCGCCGUCCACACGUGUCAUAUAGGCACCGAGCACACCGGGGCAGCCCUCCAUCUUGUCCCACUUCACAGAACCUCUGCAAGGGUCUGUCGGUGCCGUUUCGUAAUCCUGGUAAACACUGGCAUUCCCUUGUAACAUUUAUUUAUGCAUUUAUUGCAAAAUAGUUAUUUUUCUCCUCGUAAGAGGAGUACGGACUCAUUGCAAAAUAUUCAGAAAAUAAAAAGUGUGAGGAAGAGAGAAGAAAAAAAGAUUGCCCUUAACCCUAAUACCCAGGGGUUGUCACUGUCAACCCUCUGGUUCUCACCGGGCCAGUCCGAUUUUUAAAAACCCUCCCUGGAGAAAGGUAUUUGCUCACUUAUUUACACACUAAAGACCCUACCUACAUGUGUGCGUGCUGUGAUAUUUCUGACUUUAAAUGCAUGUACACACGUGUGUGUGCACGUACAUAUCCACACAUACAUACAUGUUCACACAUGUACGUGCAGUCAUGUUUUACCUCUUGCAUGGUCUCACACAGCCCCUGUGAUAGGAGAGCAAAGACACGAAAAUAAAUCAUGUUUCGAAGUUCUGCACAUACUCAUAUCCAUCGUUAAGUGCCGCGGCCUCUGUCCCAGGACCCUGCGAAGCUGCUGGCCCCACACAGAGGCCCCUUCCUUCUCCCCAGGUGGGCAGGGGACCGCGCUCCCGGAAGGCACGGCUGCUGGUUCCCACGUCCUUUGCUGACCGCCUUGAGCCCCCCGCGCACCUGUGCAGAUCGACCCUCACCUGAAUUCUUCAAACUUGCCCAUCGGUCUCUGCGCUCCAUUCCGCACUCCACGUUCGGAAGCUGGUUCAACCGCGUUCAACCCCGCGGGGGGCAGCCAGGUGGAGUCCAGCUUUUCACAAUCAUUGUGAAAGGUUGUGGACUCUCCCUUGGGUGUGCCUUGGAGAGGGCUUCUUGGAAGUGACAUUGCUGGGUCUCGAGAGCACACGGUAACAUUUCUGGCUGCGUCUGUGGACGGUCGGUGACGCUCUGUCUGGAGGAACCGCGCUGAGCACUCGGCCAUCCCCUGUGGCUGGACGCGUCUGCUGUUCCCAAUACUUCCCGUGAUACAUAACACCGGGGGGGGGGGACGUCUUCAAGCACAAACUGGCUUUUGUGUCUGGAACUGCUCUCUGGCUGGCCCGGCUUUACCAGGGUAAAGGGACCCCGAGGCCCGUGCUGGAUGGUUCGUUUAGAACAGCCAUACCCGCCAAAGUUUACACUGGAGUGACAAAUCAGACGGGAAUAACUGCUUUAUUUUGUGGUCUGCGUGUCCACUGACAGCAGGAGGACAGCGCCCCAUGAGACGCCCAGCAAGUGGGUCCUACAGAAAUAUCGGACCUUAAAAAAAGCAACAAAAAUCGAACCUCAACUUCCCUCCCCUGGGGCUCCAGCUGCCUAUUCCCGCUGCAGACGGAAGCAGAUACUUCUGGUCGUAGAGGGGGCCUCGCGGGCCAGACCACACAGCCCUCCCCUAUGUGGCGCCCGGCGCUGCCAUCCAUGUCCUCCCCCCAUCAGACCUCAGGCCCCCCACUUGCUCUUGCCUGUGCUCACCAUUGCCCUGGGCCGUAUGGUCAGAACCUAUACUCGCGUGAACGGAUUUUAAGGUCAGUCUCUGAAACUGGAUCGCUGACACACGUUGCGAGAAAAUCAUGUGAUCCCCUGUGUGCCGCCCCCUCCCCCACUGCACCCCGACUUUGGGAGCCUUCCAUUUGGACUCCGUGCAUCCGAAGCUAAGGCCGGCUGUGAACCUCACGCACCUGCUCAUCCGCUGGCGGAACCUGUGUCUCUUCAAUAAUCAGGUUUUAACCCACUGGCUGUGCGGGAGCGGUACGCGUGAGCCCUGCCCGCAGGCGGACUUUUCUUCUCUCUUGGCCCUCGGGCUGCCCGAGACCCACCCCUCCUGCCUGAACCACCACCAGCUUCCCUGCGGCCCGGCAGCCGCUCAUAGGUGGGAAUCGAGCUGCCAUCCCUCAGCUCGCCCACCCGGUCUUCUCGGCUGCGAUGCACACCCACAGUCAGGGUCCGCCACUCACGGAGCUCCUGCUCUCCCCGCACGGGACGGCAAUGUCUGGGGUCAUCCUAACAAUGGCCCUGUGGGCCAGCUAGGACUAGCCCCUUACAGAUGGGACAGCGGAGGCUCCCAGGGCACAUCCCUGCCUUGCAAGUGGCAGGCACAGGACGCCUCACUGUGCCUCAGCCUGGAGCGCCACUCAGGCGUGUGCUCAGAGCAUGCACGGGCCGGGGUGGGGGACACACCGGGACACGUGUGCAUGAACGUGGUGGCUGAGGGGUCUGCAUCCAGCCGCCAAGCUGAGAUCUGGGCAAGUCUGGCUAGGAGCCCCAGAGGCACCCACCUGGCCCAUGUUUGGCCCCGCCAAGCUGGGUCUCGGAGGAAAAGGGGGUGGGGAGCCAGCCUGCCCCUCGGGGCUGCUGUGAGCCAGAGGCUCCCUCCCGGUCCUGGGCAUGCCCUCCACAUGAGCAGCACAGGGCAGCCACAGCAAGUGGUCCCCCAAGUCACCCGCACCACAGACCAGGACCGCGGGGCUGGGCACAAAGAAGUCUGUUUUCUCCCAUUCUGGAGGUGGGAAGACUGAGAUCAAGGGGUCAGCAGAGCCACACUCCCUCAGGCCUCUAGAGGAGGAUCCUUCCUGCGCCCCCGGGUGCUGAUGCUGGCUACCAACCCAGGGCCUUCCUCUGCAGACUUGUCCUUCCAACCUGUGCCUCUGUCCUCACGGGGCCUCUCUGCUGGGUGAGUCUGUCUCUGUGUCUCUUCUCCUAAGGACAUUUGACAUUGGAUUUAAAGCCCCCCAACUCCAUCCGACAGGACCUCAGCCUCACCGGAGCACGUCUCCAAAGACCCACACCCACAGUAGCGUCUGGGACUCAAACAUGUCCUGAACGCACCCGCCCCCAGCACCACAGGUAAGGGCUCGCUGAGGUGCCCACGUGGAGGGGCCCCAGUGCCUUUGCAGGGUGUCUCAUGUCCAUCUGUGUCCCCAUUCUUGUGCACUGGGACAUGCUGCCUCUCCCAGAAACAUGGAGACAGGAGAGACCAGGUGCUAACGAGGGAGCUGAGGCGCACAGCCAUGACCGUAAAUCCCAGGGGGGCUUGGGGCCAGCUGGCGCGGGGGGCUCCCGUGCACACUGGGCUGGAUGUGGGAUGAGGGCACUGUUCCAGGGCCAGGCACUUCCCACAGGACCCGCACCCGUCCCGUCUCCGGGACGUGAACUCCUGAGGGAGCCCUGCUCUGCUCACCCCUGUUCACAGCCCUGAGCAUGGAGCAAGUCCCCAUGAACACUCGGCACCUGUGGGAGUGAAUUCCCUGGUGUGGAAGGAAAAGCCUUGGAGGCAGGAGAAGUCCUGCCUCAGUUUCCCCAACUUGCACAGGGGGUUGGGCCCAGACCCAGACAUCCCACUGCAAACUGCCUGGGCAGCGCCACCUGCUGGACGGACCAGGAAGUGCACCUGAACAGUCCGCUCCUCCCCACGCCCUCCUCCCGCACCCAGCUCCGGGCCAGGAAGUCGAAGAAACGCACAGGCGCUGUCACUUGCUCGCCCUGCGAUGUCGGUCACAUCCUCAGCCCGCCGCAAAGCUUGAUGCCAAUGCCCACCCAACCCCUGUUCCGACAUCCUUCACCAAAACCACCUGCCCGCCCACUCUCCACCCCGUCCACCCUGCUCUCCGCCCUCGGAGCUGACCGAUACAUUCUGCAGAAACAGCCCUCCUUGCUCUCUGGCUUCUGGAGCCCAGAGGGUGCCCUGCUACCAGCUAAGUGGGAAGGUGCAGAAGGAGGCCCAAGUGUCUCGUCCUCUACACCCUUCCCCAGGUGGCGUCCGGCCAGGCUUCUCACCUGAAGGUCACACCCUUUAAGGCUAUGGCUCCACGUUCCCCCCACAUUCCAGCCCCAGUCCCCUGCGCGCCCCAGGCCCAGCGUGGAUGAAGCUCAGCAGCUGUCCACGUGGGAGCACCGCGUCUUCGUGGUGGCGUUCUGCCUGCCAUGCCCCUGUAAAUGAUACCCCAUGAGCCCCUCCCCGCGCAGUCCUACUGUGGGUGGCAACAGCCACCUCUCCCCUUCAGAAACCCCCGCUGCCUUCAGUGGAGACAGAAGCCCCAGUUAAAGGCAGGCAAAUGCAUCGGCGGGUUCUGAAGACAGUUUCACUGGUGGUGACCGGUCGGGUCACUGUUCUCUUGAGACGGGAUGUCAUAAAGAUGUAUGGGGACGCUCAGCACACUCCAGGGCCAGCCUGGCUACCAGAGAGCCAAGCUGUCCCCUCCUGAGUUCUGCUGAAAGGGGCUGCUCGGUGGCGAAGGGGAGGGGUUAGCAGGAGGGUGUGGUGAUGGGCCCAGGUUUUCCCCAGAACUCUGUCAAGGUCAGAGCAAGCAGCCUCCUAACCCCCAGCCUGCCUGCUGGAAAGUUAAAUUCCGUCAGAGAGCAGUGACAGCUGCCAAUUAGAGAUAGAGGGGAGAGCGGGGGAAGGGCACAUGCUUUGAAGUUGGGCCUGCCUGGGCCGAGUGCCCAGUGCUGCCGUUUUCUAGCUGGGUGGCUUGGGUGGCUUGGGCAGGUCCCUCAGCCUCUCUGAGCCAGGUGUCCUGGUCCGUGAAGUGAGGGUGGCAUUCCUGCCCUUGGAGAAUUAUUCAGACGUGGCUAUGCCCCGUCCACACUGUGGCACACUUGGUUAUGGUUAGCGUGGUAGCCGCGGUCAGGAGCGUUCCUAGGGUUAACACAAGAACAGCACUGCUAGCUGAACACCAUCUUCGAACAUAAGAAAAACGUGCAUCUAUUUUAAUGUUGAAACCGCUGACUACUGACCUUUACUGCUUAGUCACAGGUGAGGACGCUGGGACCCAAAGAAGGUGAGUAGCUUGCUUGAGGUCACACAGCAGUAGCAGAGAUGGGUCUGGAACAAGGGUCUUCUGAAACUGUUUUCAAGCCUCAUGCUGUGGCAGACACUACCACGGCAACUGGCCAUGAACCACGUCCUGUGGGAUCCCCUCCCCUCAAGGGUGGGCAAGACCUAUGGACUUGCUUCUUUAAAAAAAAAAAAAAAGAUUGACUGAUUGAUUUGCGAGAGCAGGAGGAGGGGCAGAGAGAGAGGGAAAGAGAGGAUCUG